GCGAAUGGGUGCGUAACACGUAGGUGACCUGCCCGAAAGUGGGGAAUAACAGUCCGAAAGGACUGCUAAUACCGCAUGAGUUGCCUUUAGAGAAAGGUGCGCUUUCGGAGGGGCCUGCGGCCCAUCAGCUAGUUGGUAGGGUAAUGGCCUACCAAGGCAACGACGGGUAGGGGACCUGAGAGGGUGACCCCCCACACUGGCACUGACACACGGGCCAGACUCCUACGGGAGGCAGCAGUCGGGAAUAUUGCCCAAUGGACGAAAGUCUGAGGCAGCAACGCCGCGUGCGCGAUGAAGGCCUUCGGGUCGUAAAGCGCUUUUCGGGUGGAUGAGGGACAGUACACCCGGAAUCAGGUACGGCUAACUACGUGCCAGCAGCCGCGGUAAAACGUAGGUACCGAGCGUUAUCCGGAUUUACUGGGCGUAAAGCGUGUUCAGGCGGCUUGACAAGUCGGGCAUGAAAUCCUUCGGCUCAACCGGGGGAGGUUGUCCGAUAC
This 497-nucleotide ribosomal RNA is filed under the name uncultured soil bacterium. RNAcentral describes it as "bacterial SSU rRNA". It matches the Rfam family "Bacterial small subunit ribosomal RNA", at positions 98 to 633 of the family's 1533-position model. The record is from RNAcentral.